This 208-nucleotide ribosomal RNA is filed under the name Stenotrophomonas sp. MBR2.29. Its description in RNAcentral is "partial 16S ribosomal RNA". It matches the Rfam family "Bacterial small subunit ribosomal RNA", at positions 60 to 262 of the family's 1533-position model. The record is from RNAcentral. Lineage: Bacteria; Pseudomonadati; Pseudomonadota; Gammaproteobacteria; Lysobacterales; Lysobacteraceae.
UGCAGUCGACGGCAGCACAGGAGAGCUUGCUCUCUGGGUGGCGAGUGGCGGACGGGUGAGGAAUACAUCGGAAUCUACUCUGUCGUGGGGGAUAACGUAGGGAAACUUACGCUAAUACCGCAUACGACCUACGGGUGAAAGCAGGGGAYCUUCGGRCCUUGCGCGAUUGAAUGAGCCGAUGUCGGAUUAGCUAGUUGGCGGGGUAAAG